AUGGAUUCCAUCUUGGCUAAUGGGACAUGGGAGAUCACUGAUCGUCCCUAUGGUUGUCAACCAUUAGGAUGUAAGUGGGUGUUCAAGAAUAAGCUUAGGCCCGAUGGUACUGUUGAGAAGUACAAGGCUAGGCUUGUGGCCAAGGGUUAUACCCAGAAAGAAGAAGAGGAUUUCUCUGACACUUAUUCACCUGUGGCUAGACUGACAACCAUUCGAGUGUUACUCGCUUUGGCUGCCUCGCAUGGUCUUCUCGUUCAUCAGAUGGACGUUAAGACGGCUUUCCUUAACGGAGAGCUAGACGAGGAAAUUUACAUGCAACAGCCGGAUGGCUUUGUAGUAAAUGGUCAGGAAAGAAAGGUGUGUAAGCUAGUGAAAUCUUUGUAUGGCCUGAAACAAGCGUCUAAGCAAUGGCAUGAGAAGUUCAACACUACUCUGACAUCUGCUGGCUUUGUUGUGAACGAAGCUGACAAAUGUGUAUACUAUCGCUAUGGUGGGGGCGAAGGAGUUAUACUGUGUCUGUAUGUCGAUGACAUACUGAUAUUUGGGACCCACCUCAAGGUCAUUGAGGAGGUCAAGUCCUUUUUAUCUCACAACUUUGAGAUGAAGGACCUGGGAGUGGCUGAUGUUAUUCUGAACAUCAAGCUACUGAGAAAUUCUGAGGGUGGAAUUACACUUUUGCAAUCCCACUAUGUUGAGAAGAUUUUGAGCCGUUUUGGAUAUUCGGACUGCAAACCUUCUACAACACCAUAUGAUUCUACAUGUGCUACUCGUCCUGACAUCUCAUUUGAUGUGUGCAAACUGAGCCGGUUUGUUUCCAAUCCGGGAGAUGUGCAUUGGCAUGCUGUUGAGCGAGUGAUGCGUUAUUUGCAAGGUACUGCGAACUAUGGAAUUCACUAUUCUGGGUACCCGACGGUACUUGAGGGGUAUAGUGAUUCGAAUUGGAUAUCUGAUGCUGAUGAGAUGAAAGCCACAAGUGGACAUGUCUUCACACUUGGUGGUGACACAUCAUGCGUCGAAGCAGAAUGGCUUCGAGAGCUUUUGAUGGAUUUUCCGGUGGUUGAUAAACCGGUGCCGGCUGUCCUUAUGAACUAUGACAAUCAAACAAUGAUUGCCAAGGCUAAGAGUUCAAAGGACAACAUGAAAUCCACAAAGCACAUAAGAAGAAGAUUGAAAUCUAUCAGAAAAUCAAGAAACUCCGGAGUAAUAGUGUUGGAUUAUAUCCAGACGGCUAAGAAUCUGGGAGACCCUUUUACGAAAGGGCUAUCACGGAUUGUGAUAGAAAAUGCAUCGAGGGAGAUGGGUAUGAGACGCACGUAA
This 1317-nucleotide ribosomal RNA is filed under the name Triticum aestivum (bread wheat). Its description in RNAcentral is "partial small subunit ribosomal RNA". Lineage: Eukaryota; Viridiplantae; Streptophyta; Magnoliopsida; Poales; Poaceae. The record is from RNAcentral.